This 491-nucleotide ribosomal RNA is filed under the name uncultured bacterium. RNAcentral's name for it is "partial 16S ribosomal RNA". It matches the Rfam family "Bacterial small subunit ribosomal RNA", at positions 28 to 507 of the family's 1533-position model. The record is from RNAcentral.
GAUGAACGCUGGCUACAGGCUUAACACAUGCAAGUCGAGGGGAAACGACGGGGAAGCUUGCUUCCCCGGGCGUCGACCGGCGCACGGGUGAGUAACGCGUAUCCAACCUGCCUCUGACUGAGGGAUAACCCGUCGAAAGUCGGCCUAAUACCUCAUGGCAUCGUCUGCGGGCAUCCAACGACGUUUAAAGAUUUCAUCGGUCAGAGAUGGGGAUGCGUCUGAUUAGCUUGUUGGCGGGGUAACGGCACACCAAGGCGACGAUCAGUAGGGGUUCUGAGAGGAAGGUCCCCCACAUUGGAACGAAGGCACAGUCCAAACUCCUACGGGAGGCAGCAGUGAGUAAUAUUGGUCAAUGAGCGAGAGCCUGAACCAGCCAAGUAGCGUGCAGGAGGACGGCCCUAUGGGUUGUAAACUGCUUUUAUGCAGGGAUAAAGUGAGGGACGUGUCCUUCAUUGCAGGUACCGAAUGAAUAAGGACCGGCUAAUUCCGUG